Molecule: long non-coding RNA, 2565 nt
Organism: Cinclus cinclus
Lineage: Eukaryota; Metazoa; Chordata; Aves; Passeriformes; Cinclidae
Exons: 3
Source: RefSeq, a predicted model, not a curated record
UUGGGACUAAGGAUUCAGUUUGCUUUUUUUGUCUUAGAAGUCGGUCCUUAAUGAAUCAUCUCAGCAGAGGUGGAAAGAGCUGGACUUCAGCAGAGCCAAGAUUGAGCACAGAAGGUGGCAAGAGGAGCGGAGGCAGCUGAAGAGGGAGCAGCAGCAAGAGGCAGAUGGCACACGACACCAGCUGCUCAGGGACAGCCAGAGGUGAUGCUGGGAACUGACUGCUUUUUGUGCUAAGUGUUGGAAGGCAGCGAUUGCGUCAGAGAACGUUGCAAGAGCUGGAGAAACAGCUGGAGCACAAAGAGAGAGCUUUGCAGCACAUGGCACUGCUCCAGGCUGCUGGGGCUGAGAGGAGCAGGAAGGAAUCCUUCUUUCGAGAGGAGGAGGAGAGGAAGGCAAGGCAGAGGCUUCAGUUCUUAAAGACACAGCGUUUGCAGAGAGAGGAGUUGCAGGCAGAAAGCAAUGAAAGGAGCUGUGAACAAGAGAAAGAAAGGCUGGAGUUCCUGAGGAGCAGAAUGCAGUCACGGCAGGAAGUACUGGAACAAGAAUCCCAGAAGCAGGACAAACAACAAAACCAGCACCAGGCUGCCAAAGCGAGAGUGUUCCAGAGGAGAGAGAGUUCUUAUUUGAGGAAGGAAAAAGAAAGCCAGAAACUCCAUGCUCUCCAGCAGUACCUCAGGGAACAGAACCUUCUGCUGCUCCGGGCAUCCCUGCUCGUGUAAGGAAGCUGCACAGUGGGUGAGCAGGGCCUGGAGUUCACAGACCUGUUGAGACCUGUCAGGUGUGAGUCACUGUGCCAGAGCAGAGCUGUGACAGGUGGCAUUAGGAUUCCUGAGGAUCUCUUCAAUCUCCCUUUCACUGCAGCCAGAGUGCACUUCCACUGCUCUGUCCUUUACCUGCCUUUAUUCCUGGGGUCACCAGCUUCCCCCUCCACUGAGAGGGAGCAGCAGGGCACAUCUAGAGGCAUUUUUCUGCAUCAGAAAGGAGGUGGUUUCUAGUGCAUUGCACUAUGGUGAGUGGAGGUGCCAAAGGAGAAGAGGAGGAGAUUAAACGUGUCACAUCCUGAAGUGCUUCCCCUUCCUCAUAUCAUCUGAGGUACAAAAUUCCCUGUGGCACAGCCAUGUGCUGAUCAGCUCCAGAAAUUUCAGAUGGGUAUUUAAGAAAGGAGAAUGGAUAUGGCACAAUUUAUUUGCUGAAACAGUCAGAGCUAUAUGGAAAUAUCUUUAUUUUACACAGAAUUAUGCUAAAAUGAAUACAAUACAUGUGAUACCUUGUUUCAAGUAAUGCCUCGAGCCAAUGAGGUACAAAAUUUAAAUUCAGCCUGUUUUUUGUGUGUACACUUAGAAACAUGAUACACAUUUUCUGUCAUGUUAUAAAACUUUAUGCCUCUUACUAGAAUACAGCAGCAGUGAUAAUGGAAGUUUCUUUAAAAAAAAAAAAGAAAAGAAGAAGUAAAAUUAAGAAAACUUGUAAAAGGGAGCUCCUUUGAAAUCCUGCCAAAUCUUCUGAAUAGCCAGCAGUUUCCUAGCAGUGUCAGACUGCAUUCCUCCAGGGAUAAUGGAGAGGCUAUGGCUUCAGCUUUUCCCUAAAAAGACAAAGUUAAGUCUCUCAUCUAGAUGUUUACAAACUACUCUGAGACCUUAAUAGCUAAAACAGGUAUUUUUAAAUUUAAGGAUUCAUAAUGUGCAUAAGUAAUCCUCAGAUUUAUGCUUAAAAGAAAAAAAAUAGGGAAAAGGAAAGAUGAACUUAAAUAGAAGGUGAAGGCUUUAACAAACAAAAUGUCAAAGUUAAGGUCUGGAAAAGUUGUAACUUGCUUCAGAUUAUGGAGGCAUAGUUUUGCAUUUUAGACAUGAAAUCCCAUAAUUUGGAACAGUUUACACUCUGUUGAGUGUCUGGAAAAGCUGGCUGGAAUUUGCUCAGCAAGAACAUGGAUGGUUGUGCCUGGCACACACCCUACUGAAGGAACAUGGGUGCUGGUGGCACAUGGAGGUUUUCUUUCAGUAAUGUUUGGGGGUUGCUUGCUUCUCUUCUUGUUUGAGUUCUCUUUUACAUAAAAUCGUGUGCUAGUUAGGACAAUACUCUGCCUGCUUAUGACUCUAACUAGACUUAAAGAAACAAGCCUGAAAACUUACAGGGUGUUAAACUCUACUCCUGCUUUUAUCCUUAUGCACUUGGAAAUGGAAUAUGCAGUGAUUAAAGGAAAGUACAUGAAAUAUACUGAGUUGAAUCUAAAUUUAUUUUUCAGACUUCAUUUAUAUGAUGUUCAUCAUUACUUUACAAUCACUAUAAAACAGCAGAUUGCUUUUGCACUUUCUCCUCAGUGCUUAGCCACCUGAGAACAGACCACUGCAGAGACCCUGCUCCACUGCUGUUUCACACAGGGUAUGUCUGGGAAGAUAUUCAGUACCACACUAUUUCCAACUAUUCAUGGACUGUAUUUCUCACUGUGAAAACGCAGCCAUAAAGUCAUUUUAAUACUGCUAUUAAAAUAACUGACUGUAAAUGCCACGUGUAAUCCAGUUCUGCUGGCUUUAUUUGAUUUUAAGCAUUCUUAAUAUGGUUUUGAUC